GCAGGGACAAGGGUUCUUCUACAUGCACCAAUACAGCCACGUGUUGGAAUCCCGCGGCGAGCUGCUCUGGGUAUCGAUCGCCGGCAAUGGUGUCACUUCUCAGUGCGGGGCUCCUUGUCCCUAUGUGUUCGUGUACACGCUGGAGCAGGAGGAAUCAACGCCGGAGAAGAUGCGGUGGGUGAGGAAAGACGGACGUAGCCUUGCUGACCGUGUGCUGUUCCUAGGGUCACCCAAUAGCUUCGCCGUUGACGCCUCAUGGCCACGGCGGGCGUGCGUACUUCGUCUACCACAACAAUAAGAAUGCCUUGCCGCAGGAGAAGUUUGGUGCAUUUGAGUACAACUUCAUUGAAGGGAAGGCUGAGUUUGUCGAGCGGUUGCCACCAGGAUGGGAUGGCAAGAAGUGUACAUGGCUCGUCCCCCAGCCAGCCAUUGCGCCACUUCAGGAGAUCACUAAGAGGUCACUGAUGGCUCAAGAAGUGAAGCAGCAGCAAGCCGCUAUCAUGGUGAGAUAUUACGAACCUAGUUUCACGGUGUUGGUGCGCAACUUGCCCCUUGGAGUGAACAGCUCUCAGCUGCAACUCUUCUUCAGUAACCACGGCAAAGUGUCCCAUGCCAAACUGAUCUACUACAACAAGACAAAGACCAUAGAGGUUGCCGGCAUCUUAACUAUAACGAUGGUGCAUGCCCACCAAGAAGAAGCUCUAGGCGCUCUCAGCGGACUGUCUUUGGAUGGAUGCAGCCUCGAGGUUAGCUUGGUCAAGGAGGAGCAACGACGGCGGAGACAUGGCCGUCCACUUCGUUGAAGCCAUAUGAAAAUUCUUCGUUAAGAACUCAAAUUUGCAUAGACUCCUGGUAGAUUUGUCUCAAACAUUGAUUAUGUAUUGCAAAACAAAAAUAGAAGAAACAAAAUAAGAGUUCUUCAUUUUAAAAUAAAAUAAGAGCUUUUUUAG
Triticum aestivum (bread wheat) is the source of this 950-nucleotide long non-coding RNA. RefSeq lists it as uncharacterized. The record is from RefSeq and is a predicted model, not a curated record. Lineage: Eukaryota; Viridiplantae; Streptophyta; Magnoliopsida; Poales; Poaceae. The transcript has 2 exons.